This 748-nucleotide ribosomal RNA is filed under the name Ramalinaceae sp. RNAcentral's name for it is "SSU rRNA". It matches the Rfam family "Bacterial small subunit ribosomal RNA", at positions 348 to 1131 of the family's 1533-position model. The record is from RNAcentral. Lineage: Eukaryota; Fungi; Ascomycota; Lecanoromycetes; Lecanorales; Ramalinaceae.
CCAGCAAUUAGGAAGAAUGUAUAGCGAUAGCUAAUUGUAUAACAUGUUAUGCAAUAUUGACUAAAUUGAAUAAAGUUCUGAGUAAAUCUAGAUAGUGACUUAGUUUACUCACGUGUCUUGACCAAAAUGCGUGCCAGCAGUCGCGGUAAGACGUAUAAGACUAGUGUUAUUCAUCUUUAACAGGUAUAAAGCGUAAUUAGACGGCAAAUCAAACUGUAGUAAGAACUAGUUUGCUAGAGUUACUUGUGAAGAGGCUUGAAAGUACUAAUGGAGUAGAGAUAAAAUGCUAAUAUACCUUUUUUCGAUAGAAAUAUCACGGCACUGGUAAAGGCGAAAGCAUCCUCUUAUGAGAUAACUGACGUUAAAGGACGAAGGCUUAGAAUAUCGAAUAGGAUUAGAUACCCUAGUAGUCUAAGCAGAAAAUGAUGAGUGUCAUAGACUAGAACAAGUAUAAUACAAUAAACGAAAUUAAUAAAAAUUAGAAAUUUAGUCUAUAAAUGAAAAUGUAAGCACUCCACCUUAAGACUAAUGUGGCAACACCCAAAUUGAAAUCAUUAGACCGUUUCUGAGACCAGUAGUGAAGUAUGUUGUUUAAUUUGAUGACCCGCAAAAAACCUUACCACAACUUGAAUAAAUUUUUUAUAGUUUUGUACAAGCGCUGCACGGCUGUCUUAAGUUGAUUUUCUGAAAAUUUGGUUAGAUCCAUUUAAUUGACGUAAACCCUCCUUUUACUUUUAUGUAAAGCGGU